AAAAGCUUCUCCUAAAUACCCGAACUAUAACUAUAAUCCACCACCUCAGCGCUACAGCACUGCAACCGGGAUGGUCCUGUGCGCAUCAGUAGAGCGCAUGCGCAAGCAGUAAAACAGCUACGGUGCGAGGUGACAGCUGCACUGAUGAUAUCGAUGAACGUCUCCAGCGGUAACAACAUUCCGCAUAGCACCCAAGGCAAGAAGCACAAAAAGAAAACCAAGAAGCAUCGCAAAGGAUCUGGUGAGAACAUUCCCCCACUCGAUCUUGGGCCCCCACUGCCCACUGCAGAUGAACUCUGUCACAUCCUAACGAUCCACACGCCCUCCACCCCCCCACAAUAUCCUCCCACCCC
Long non-coding RNA from Clupea harengus (Atlantic herring), 353 nucleotides. NCBI's taxonomy places the organism in Eukaryota, Metazoa, Chordata, Actinopteri, Clupeiformes, Clupeidae. The record is from Ensembl.